AACGAACGCUGGCGGCAUGCCUAACACAUGCAAGUCGAACGAGACCUUCGGGUCUAGUGGCGCACGGGUGCGUAACGCGUGGGAACCUGCCCUUAGGUUCGGAAUAACUCCCCGAAGGGGGUGCUAAUACCGGAUAAUGUCUUCGGACCAAAGAUUUAUCGCCUUUGGAUGGGCCCGCGUUGGAUUAGCUAGUUGGUAGGGUAAAAGCCUACCAAGGCGACGAUCCAUAGCUGGUCUGAGAGGAUGAUCAGCCACACUGGGACUGAGACACGGCCCAGACUCCUACGGGAGGCAGCAGUGGGGAAUAUUGGACAAUGGGCGAAAGCCUGAUCCAGCCAUGCCGCGUGAGUGAUGAAGGCCUUAGGGUUGUAAAGCUCUUUUACCCGGGAUGAUAAUGACAGUACCGGGAGAAUAAGCUCCGGCUAACUCCGUG
Molecule: ribosomal RNA, 433 nt
Filed under: uncultured bacterium
Lineage: Bacteria
Description: partial 16S ribosomal RNA
Rfam family: Bacterial small subunit ribosomal RNA
Source: RNAcentral